RNAcentral lists this ribosomal RNA (433 nucleotides) under uncultured bacterium. Its description in RNAcentral is "partial 16S ribosomal RNA". It matches the Rfam family "Bacterial small subunit ribosomal RNA", at positions 29 to 507 of the family's 1533-position model. The record is from RNAcentral.
AACGAACGCUGGCGGCAUGCCUAAUACAUGCAAGUCGAACGAGAUCUUCGGAUCUAGUGGCGCACGGGUGCGUAACGCGUGGGAAUCUGCCCUUGGGUUCGGAAUAACUUCUGGAAACGGAAGCUAAUACCGGAUGAUGACGUAAGUCCAAAGAUUUAUCGCCCAAGGAUGAGCCCGCGUAGGAUUAGCUAGUUGGUGGGGUAAAGGCCCACCAAGGCGACGAUCCUUAGCUGGUCUGAGAGGAUGAUCAGCCACACUGGGACUGAGACACGGCCCAGACUCCUACGGGAGGCAGCAGUAGGGAAUAUUGGACAAUGGGCGAAAGCCUGAUCCAGCAAUGCCGCGUGAGUGAUGAAGGCCUUAGGGUUGUAAAGCUCUUUUACCCGGGAUGAUAAUGACAGUACCGGGAGAAUAAGCCCCGGCUAACUCCGUG